GGCGAACGCUGGCGGCAGGCUUAACACAUGCAAGUCGAGCGGGCACUUUCGGGUGUCCGCGGCGGACGGGUGAGUAACGCGUGGGAACGUGCCCUCUGGUUCGGAAUAACUCAGGGAAACUUGAGCUAAUACCGGAUACGCCCUUUUGGGGAAAGGCUUGCUGCCGGAGGAUCGGCCCGCGUCUGAUUAGCUAGUUGGUGAGGUAACGGCUCACCAAGGCGACGAUCAGUAGCUGGUCUGAGAGGAUGAUCAGCCACACUGGGACUGAGACACGGCCCAGACUCCUACGGGAGGCAGCAGUGGGGAAUAUUGGACAAUGGGCGCAAGCCUGAUCCAGCCAUGCCGCGUGAGUGAUGAAGGCCUUAGGGUUGUAAAGCUCUUUUAUCCGGGACGAUAAUGACGGUACCGGAGGAAUAAGCCCCGGCUAACUUCGUG
RNAcentral lists this ribosomal RNA (435 nucleotides) under uncultured bacterium. RNAcentral describes it as "partial 16S ribosomal RNA". It matches the Rfam family "Bacterial small subunit ribosomal RNA", at positions 28 to 507 of the family's 1533-position model. The record is from RNAcentral.